GAAUUAGUGGUCCAAUGGUUAAGACGUAGCUUUUUCACGGCUAAUAUUGCUGGUUCGACCCCAGUCUAGUUCG
This 73-nucleotide transfer RNA is filed under the name Claviceps purpurea (ergot fungus). Its description in RNAcentral is "tRNA-Glu". It matches the Rfam family "tRNA". Rfam says of the family: Transfer RNA (tRNA) molecules are approximately 80 nucleotides in length. The record is from RNAcentral. Lineage: Eukaryota; Fungi; Ascomycota; Sordariomycetes; Hypocreales; Clavicipitaceae. RNAcentral also lists the same sequence under 14 other names.